Molecule: ribosomal RNA, 257 nt
Filed under: uncultured bacterium
Lineage: Bacteria
Description: partial 16S ribosomal RNA
Rfam family: Bacterial small subunit ribosomal RNA
Source: RNAcentral
GACGGGGGGGGGUGGGGCAAGUGUUCUUCGGGAUGACUGGGCGUCAAGGGCCCGUAGGCGGUGAAUCGGGUUGAAAGUGAAAGUCGCCAAAAAGUGGCGGAAUGCUCUCGAAACCAAUUCACUUGAGUGAGACAGAGGAGAGUGGAAUUUCGUGUGUAGGGGUGAAAUCCGUAGAUCUACGAAGGAACGCCAAAAGCGAAGGCAGCUCUCUGGGUCCCUACCGACGCUGGGGUGCGAAAGCAUGGGGAGCGAACAGA